This 943-nucleotide ribosomal RNA is filed under the name Litchfieldella xinjiangensis. Its description in RNAcentral is "bacterial SSU rRNA". It matches the Rfam family "Bacterial small subunit ribosomal RNA", at positions 56 to 990 of the family's 1533-position model. The record is from RNAcentral. Lineage: Bacteria; Pseudomonadati; Pseudomonadota; Gammaproteobacteria; Oceanospirillales; Halomonadaceae.
UGCAAGUCGAGCGGCAGCGGGAGGUGCUUGCACCUCGCCGGCGAGCGGCGGACGGGUGAGUAAUGCAUAGGAAUCUGCCCGGUAGUGGGGGAUAACCUGGGGAAACCCAGGCUAAUACCGCAUACGUCCUACGGGAGAAAGCAGGGGAUCUUCGGACCUUGCGCUAUCGGAUGAGCCUAUGCCGGAUUAGCUAGUUGGUAGGGUAACGGCCUACCAAGGCGACGAUCCGUAGCUGGUCUGAGAGGAUGAUCAGCCACACUGGGACUGAGACACGGCCCAGACUCCUACGGGAGGCAGCAGUGGGGAAUAUUGGACAAUGGGCGAAAGCCUGAUCCAGCCAUGCCGCGUGUGUGAAGAAGGCUUUCGGGUUGUAAAGCACUUUCAGUGGGGAAGAAGGCCUGUCGGUUAAUACCCGGCAGGGACGACAUCACCCACAGAAGAAGCACCGGCUAACUCCGUGCCAGCAGCCGCGGUAAUACGGAGGGUGCGAGCGUUAAUCGGAAUUACUGGGCGUAAAGCGCGCGUAGGCGGCGUGAUAAGCCGGUUGUGAAAGCCCCGGGCUCAACCUGGGAACGGCAUCCGGAACUGUCGCGCUAGAGUGCAGGAGAGGAAGGUAGAAUUCCCGGUGUAGCGGUGAAAUGCGUAGAGAUCGGGAGGAAUACCAGUGGCGAAGGCGGCCUUCUGGACUGACACUGACGCUGAGGUGCGAAAGCGUGGGUAGCAAACAGGAUUAGAUACCCUGGUAGUCCACGCCGUAAACGAUGUCGACUAGCCGUUGGGCGCCUCGAGUGCUUAGUGGCGAAGUUAACGCGAUAAGUCGACCGCCUGGGGAGUACGGCCGCAAGGUUAAAACUCAAAUGAAUUGACGGGGGCCCGCACAAGCGGUGGAGCAUGUGGUUUAAUUCGAUGCAACGCGAAGAACCUUACCUACCCUUGACAUCCU